This 230-nucleotide ribosomal RNA is filed under the name uncultured bacterium. Its description in RNAcentral is "partial 16S ribosomal RNA". It matches the Rfam family "Bacterial small subunit ribosomal RNA", at positions 333 to 579 of the family's 1533-position model. The record is from RNAcentral.
UUUGCCCUACGGGAGGCAGCAGUGGGGAAUAUUGCACAAUGGGGGAAACCCUGAUGCAGUGACGCCGCGUAUAGGAAGAAGGUCUUCGGAUUGUAAACUAUUGUCAUUAGGGAAGAGAAAGGACAGUACCUAAAGAGGAAGCUCCGGCUAACUACGUGCCAGCAGCCGCGGUAAUACGUAGGGAGCAAGCGUUAUCCGGAUUUAUUGGGUGUAAAGGGUGCGUAGACGGG